RNAcentral lists this long non-coding RNA (1016 nucleotides) under Homo sapiens (human). RNAcentral describes it as "HSALNT0323803". The record is from RNAcentral. Lineage: Eukaryota; Metazoa; Chordata; Mammalia; Primates; Hominidae.
GUCAAAUCUUAUGAAGGAUUAAAACAUAAAGUUUGCAUUAAAGGUCAAAACAGUCACAAGCCUGCUCAAAUUCGGAAAGAGGGGACGGAAAUGGAACCUCUUCAUGGGAGGAAGAAUUGGAAAAAUGAAUGUAAUUUGACAUAUGUCUUGAGUCUGGUUGGCUUCUGAGGAACUUGUGUGCAUCUCAUCAGUAUGCAUCUUAAGAACUGAAAUGACCCUACUUCAGCAUUGUGAGAAGACAUGCAUUCUCUUCGUAUAAAUAAUGUGGAUCUUACAUGUAAAGUAUUAUAAAGAUUAGCUGUUUAACAACUUAAAUAAGCUUGUGAAUAAUAAAUUAAUAACAAUGUUAUGCUAAUACGUAACUAUGAUAUUUGCUGAACAAAAUAAAUUUGCCUACUUUGGAAGCAGAUUGGGUGGUUUAAUAUAUCAGCAAAAGAGUGUUUUUAAAAAAUAUCAAAGUUCUGUUAAUCAAAACGUUUAUUGUAGGACAGUUAGUAAUGUUUUGUUUGCCAACUUAUAUUACAAAGUCUCUGUCUUAAGUGUUUCCUUGCAAAUAAAAUGACAAUACUGCCUUACAUUUUAUUACUUUAGAGUUUGCAAAAUAUCUUCAUUAUAAUAUUUCAUUUAGUAGACAUGCCUAUGGGAACAUUACUUCCAGAAUUAAAAACAUUAUUUUUGUUUUGGUAUAUUUUUAAACUACAAAUGAUAGAAAGGCAAGUAAAUGUAAGUUUUUCUCUAGUUAUUUGUUCAAAUGCUAAUUUAAAACAUUUGUACAUUUCUAAUACAAACAUUCCUUAUUUGAGAAAAAAUGGAUUUCUUAAAAACAAAAUGCAUUUUAAAGCAGAGAGACAGGGCAUUGAGCUGAAAAUGGUGGCUGGAAGUUGGGAUCUGUAAGAGAAGUUGAAUGUGCCCCGAGGCAUAAAGCUGCUAAUUUUGUUUUAUUGGAUUUUACUGUAGCUAUUAAUAUAUUUUGCUGGAGAUUUAUGUGAUCAAUUUAUCUUAUGGCCAGAACUAAU